This 465-nucleotide ribosomal RNA is filed under the name uncultured Klebsiella sp. RNAcentral's name for it is "bacterial SSU rRNA". It matches the Rfam family "Bacterial small subunit ribosomal RNA", at positions 338 to 795 of the family's 1533-position model. The record is from RNAcentral. Lineage: Bacteria; Pseudomonadati; Pseudomonadota; Gammaproteobacteria; Enterobacterales; Enterobacteriaceae.
CCUACGGGCGGCUGCAGUGGGGAAUAUUGCACAAUGGGCGCAAGCCUGAUGCAGCCAUGCCGCGUGUGUGAAGAAGGCCUUCGGGUUGUAAAGCACUUUCAGCGGGGAGGAAGGCGUUAAGGUUAAUAACCUUGGCGAUUGACGUUACCCGCAGAAGAAGCACCGGCUAACUCCGUGCCAGCAGCCGCGGUAAUACGGAGGGUGCAAGCGUUAAUCGGAAUUACUGGGCGUAAAGCGCACGCAGGCGGUCUGUCAAGUCGGAUGUGAAAUCCCUGGGCUCAAACUGGGAACUGCAUUCGAAACGGGCAGGCUAGAGUCUUGUAGAGGGGGGUAGAAUUCCAGGUGUAGCGGUGAAAUGCGUAGAGAUCUGGAGGAAUACCGGUGGCGAAGGCGGCCCCCUGGACAAAGACUGACGCUCAGGUGCGAAAGCGUGGGGAGCAAACAGGAUUAGAUACCCGAGUAGUC